Cotesia glomerata is the source of this 437-nucleotide long non-coding RNA. RefSeq lists it as uncharacterized. Lineage: Eukaryota; Metazoa; Arthropoda; Insecta; Hymenoptera; Braconidae. The transcript has 3 exons. The record is from RefSeq and is a predicted model, not a curated record.
AGACAUAUGUCAAGGGUAGCAAAAGCGUUGGUUGAAGAAAAAGGUCUACUUUCAGUACCUGAAUCAAAAUUAGGGAGAAAAAUUGCAGAUCAAGUGAAAUUGAAAGUUGAAAAUUUUUAUAAUGAUGAUGAGUACAGUGCUCCGAUGCCAGGUAUGAAAGAUUUUGUUUCAGUUCGAAAUGAUGAUGGUAAUCGAGUACCCGUCCAAAAAGACUUGUCCUGUCUAACUUAAAAGAAUUAUACCAAUGUUUUCGGGAAAUAAACGCUGCAGAGAAAAUUGGAUUUUCGAGAUUUGCUUCUCUGCGACCUAAACAUUGUGUGUUAGCAGGGGCAAGUGGAACACAUACCAUCUGUGUCUGUACGAUCCAUCAAAACGUUAAGUUAAUGAUGCUUGGUGCGAAUAUUCAUUCUCUAACAAGAAAUACAGAUAUAUCCAUU